RNAcentral lists this ribosomal RNA (404 nucleotides) under Actinomycetes bacterium. RNAcentral's name for it is "Actinobacteria bacterium partial 16S ribosomal RNA". It matches the Rfam family "Bacterial small subunit ribosomal RNA", at positions 355 to 776 of the family's 1533-position model. Lineage: Bacteria; Bacillati; Actinomycetota; Actinomycetes. The record is from RNAcentral.
UGGGGAAUAUUGGACAAUGGGCGCAAGCCUGAUCCAGCCAUGCCGCGUGAGUGAUGAAGGCCCUAGGGUUGUAAAGCUCUUUCACCGGUGAAGAUAAUGACGGUAACCGGAGAAGAAGCCCCGGCUAACUUCGUGCCAGCAGCCGCGGUAAUACGAAGGGGGCUAGCGUUGUUCGGAUUUACUGGGCGUAAAGCGCACGUAGGCGGACUUUUAAGUCAGGGGUGAAAUCCCGGGGCUCAACCCCGGAACUGCCUUUGAUACUGGAAGUCUUGAGUAUGGUAGAGGUGAGUGGAAAUCCGAGUGUAGAGGUGAAAUUCGUAGAUAUUCGGGGGAAAACCAGUGGCGAAGGCGGCUCACUGGACCAUUACUGACGCUGAGGUGCGAAAGCGUGGGGAGCAAACAGG